This 253-nucleotide ribosomal RNA is filed under the name uncultured bacterium. RNAcentral describes it as "partial 16S ribosomal RNA". It matches the Rfam family "Bacterial small subunit ribosomal RNA", at positions 524 to 776 of the family's 1533-position model. The record is from RNAcentral.
UACGUAGGGUGCAAGCGUUAUCCGGAAUUAUUGGGCGUAAAGAGCUCGUAGGCGGUUUGUCGCGUCUGCUGUGAAAACUGGAGGCUCAACCUCCAGCCUGCAGUGGGUACGGGCAGACUAGAGUCCGGAAGAGGAGAGUGGAAUUCCUGGUGUAGCGGUGAAAUGCGCAGAUAUCAGGAAGAACACCUAUGGCGAAGGCAGCUCUCUGGGACGGUACUGACGCUGAGACGCGAAAGCGUGGGGAGCGAACAGG